UACGUAGGGGGCAAGCGUUGUCCGGAAUCAUUGGGCGUAAAGAGCGCGUAGGCGGUCCGGUAAGUCGGUUGUGAAAACUGGGGGCUCAACCCUCAGAGGCCGACCGAUACUGUCGGGCUAGAGUCCGGAAGAGGCGAGUGGAAUUCCUGGUGUAGCGGUGAAAUGCGUAGAUAUCUGGAGGAAUACCGGUGGCGAAGGCGGCAUCCUGGACCGACAUUGACGCUGAUGAGCGAAAGCUAGGGGAGCAAACGGG
Molecule: ribosomal RNA, 253 nt
Filed under: uncultured bacterium
Lineage: Bacteria
Description: partial 16S ribosomal RNA
Rfam family: Bacterial small subunit ribosomal RNA
Source: RNAcentral